GCUAUUCAGCUUGGGCAUUCAUGUAGAGGAUGGGGUGGAUUUUACACAGGUAACAACAACAGAAAGGCCAGCAAGCACUCCAGCCACAGCAUAUGGUGGCAUUUCAUAGGUGCAUUUCUCCUAGCACAAGUAAAACAUACAUCAAAGCUCAUAUAACUUAAAUUGAGAGCACUAGAAAAAGAAGUUAUGGAAAACCUGGAGAAGCAGGGUUCCAUGGUGACAACACAAAGACGGAAAACUUCAAAAUCUUCCAUUUGGGUUCCUACAGGCUGGAAACCUCAUGGAGAAUUCCACAAGGGACUGCCAUACAAAUGACCUGGAGACCUGUUUUCAUGGAUGAAGCUAGGAUAGCAUUUCCUGCAUUUCCGUUAUGAUCCUCUGACAGAUAUGCAAUUCACUUAUUAUAAUGAAAAUCUAGAAUUAAUAAUUUGGAAGCGAUGCAGCCACAAAGAGAAAUUUAAUCACUAUUUAAAACAUGUUUUGGUUUUUUUUCAGCACACCUGUAAAUGAAAUAGAAUGCACUGUGCUGAAGAGGGAGACCAGCAUAGAAAAUGUUUAUAUAUAAAGCUAUUUCCUAAUUUAUUAUUUUUUAAAAAAAGCCCAAAGGUCUUAACUAUAAAUCACUUUUACACUUGUAAGGAAAAAUUUCUCUAUCUGGUCUAUAUUAAAUAUGCAAGGGAAAUAUAGUAUGUGGGCUAUAUAGGACAUAUAUACCUAUUGGAAAGAAUAACAUUUAAAAAUACUUUUUCAUGAUCAUGCUCUGGAAACAGGAUAUGCAAAACUGUUUACAAAUAAGUUACUUUUAAAUAUAAAUUGAAUAUAAAAUAUGAUCCAGUCUAGAAACAUACUGGGAAUGAAUCCACAAUUAAUGUCCAAAGUAUAGAACUCUUACUUCAUUAAUUACAUAUUGAUAUAUGAGAUACCACAUGUUUGCUUUAUGGUAUCCUCAUACCAUAAUAUUAAUAUGUUAAAUGAGAAGGACAAAGUAAGUUAAUGGAAACAUAAUACAGUAACAGAAAAUAAAUGACAGUAAAAUAAUGGGUACAAACUAGAAGCAAAAUUCUUUGGAUUGUACCUUCACGGUUAAUUUGUGGCAAAAAUUAAACCUCUGGGGAGAAAGAAACUAAAUGAGGAAACUGCAAAAUGGAUUAAGUUUUCCUGAAUACCUGAACUAGUAAUGCAGUUAAUAUCUACAACAGCCGGGAAGAUGGACUCUGUUUUUUUCCCUUAGAAAAGUCCAUCAACCCUUUUCAGGAGGGAUUUGCACAUUAUAAAGCUCCAAAGAGCCCAAGUGCUGACAGAGGAAAAUGGUAUCUAGCAGCACAGGGCAGCCUCGGCAGCCCAUCAAGAGCAAAACCACAUAAGAGAGCCAGAGACAUAUCCAGAGCUACCAACACAACUGCCUACAAAGCUGCCAAGGAGACAGAAGCUGCUUGUGGGAAAAUAUUACUUAGUUUUAGCAUAUGGGUCCUAUGAUUAUUAUCCAAAGAGAGACAGAGUGGUAAGCUAUGGUGAGAUAAACAGCACCUCAUUCCUCCCUUACCACACACACACACAAAUCUCUUUCCCCCCAAACUAGAUACACCCUAUAUAAUUUAUUUCAAUUUUGGCCAUGUUUUGAAUCCAUUUCUACAGACAGCUUUGGUAAAGGAACACUUGCCCACACUUAGUGUAUGAGACAUAGUAGGGCUAUUUGUUACUGUUGUUAUGUUUGUCCUGAAAUGUAAGCAUGUUUACAGUAGAAAUGAAGUCCCAGCUCUCUUGCAGGUAAUCCUAGGGAGUCUAAAAGGCUCAAGGGAAUCCCAAACAGGGAUGCUUUAAAAUGAACUUCUGCUCCUGUCCAAAUACAUUAAAACAGGGUCAAAUAUUUAAUCUGAUUUUUCCUCAUUUUCGGGAAGAGAACAGACCCCAAAUCCCUAACAGUUCUAGUAUCAAUCCUCUCCUGUAUCUCACUUUUUUUUUUUUUUUGGCUGAAAGGAAGAAAGGACACAGAAAAAGAGGGGUGCUCUACCCACUUGUCGUUUACCGUGUGUGAAAAAGAGAGAUAGUGUUUUUUCUGGCUAGUAAAUAAGGCAAAGUAAGAAUUUGCUUUUUAAGGUGACAAAUGCAACAACAACAACAACAAAAAACAACUUAAGGUAAUAUAAAGGCUGGAGAGAUGUUAUGGUUAGUUAAUAGGCCCUAAGUUCCCAGAGUUAUAUCCACAGUUGUGCAGACAACUGUGCAAUCAAAAGCUUUUGGAUAAUGUACAAACGUUUCCAUAUUCAAGCUACAUCUUCACUCUGUGGAAGAAAAUGAUUUCUGUUUUAAAAUAUAUGGUAUUAUCUUCUUACAAUAAAUUCAUGUUUUUUUCUGCAGAACUUUAUGAGUAGAGCUUCAGUAUAACCUGCGUUGUUGUCAGAAUUGCAAUGAAUACAUUGCAAACUAUUGAAACAAAUCAGGACUGUCACUCUACUUCAUUAUAAGGAGAGUUCAUUUAUAUGUGUGAUUCCCAUAAGGGGGAUUGCAACAUAUCUACAGUGUGGAGUCACAAUUUCAAAUAGCAUGAUAUGUAAAAUGCAAUCUAUUGGUGUGUUUUGAAAAAACUCAAUUUUCCUGAACUGCAUCUGAAGUGAUUAAAGAGUACAAGUAGUUAUUUUAGUAUAUAUUUUGAAGUUGGGCAAAUCUAUGUGGGUAUACAUACAGAUUCAAAUUUAGUGUUUUAAAGUAAAUGUAUAGAAUAUUUUUACUGAAUAGUAAGUAUUUCCAGUGAGGAACAAGGGUCUUACAUUAAUCUAAACAGAAACCAUGGGAAUAUCUGGGAUCCACACAUAUAUUUAAGAGUAUAACUGGAAGAAAAUAUCCAAGGGAGACUAACCUGUAACAUAAGAGGAACUACAGCCUGGAGUUACUGUAUAAUAACCCAAGAAUCAUGGAUUCAAUGCCACAAUCCAUUUUUUGUUUUGUUUUGUUUUUUAGUUCUCACCAGCAGAAGAUACUUUGAUUCUAACGAUGGACUCUUUUGAUUGAUGGACCAUUUGAUAGAAUGUUACUGAGAGAUUAUUAUUUCUGUUCCUGUGUAAACAAAUAUAUUCCAAAACCCAUUUAAAUGUAUAGUAUUAUUUAUACCAUUAUUAAACAAAAUGGCAAAAAUAUUAUUAAAUUGUUCCAUCGCUUCCCUUUUUAUUAUAUAAUAUCAAAAUUCAAUAUGAACAUGUCUAAAUGCAAAGCGAGGCUCAGUUCUUAGAGAAAGCUACUGUACAUAUGACUGGCAUUAGUCACCUUACCCUAGAAGACAAAAGGAGAAGUAAAUGUGAAAAUAUGUUGUAUUAAACAAAGAAAGGUUUUUAAAAAAAUCAUUUGCAGGUAUUGCUUGUGCUUUGUGAAUGCAGCUU
Caretta caretta (loggerhead turtle) is the source of this 3374-nucleotide long non-coding RNA. RefSeq lists it as uncharacterized. The record is from RefSeq and is a predicted model, not a curated record. Lineage: Eukaryota; Metazoa; Chordata; Testudines; Cheloniidae.